UACGUAGGGGGCGAGCGUUGUCCGGAUUCAUUGGGCGUAAAGAGCUCGUAGGCGGCUUGGCAAGUCGGAUGUGAAAACUCCAGGCUCAACCUGGAGCCGCCAUUCGAUACUGCUAUGGCUAGAGUCCGGUAGGGGAUUGUGGAAUUCCCGGUGUAGCGGUGAAAUGCGCAGAUAUCGGGAGGAACACCGAUGGCGAAGGCAGCACUCUGGGCCGGUACUGACGCUGAGGAGCGAAAGCGUGGGGAGCGAACAGG
RNAcentral lists this ribosomal RNA (254 nucleotides) under uncultured bacterium. RNAcentral's name for it is "partial 16S ribosomal RNA". It matches the Rfam family "Bacterial small subunit ribosomal RNA", at positions 524 to 776 of the family's 1533-position model. The record is from RNAcentral.